Molecule: ribosomal RNA, 371 nt
Filed under: uncultured beta proteobacterium
Lineage: Bacteria; Pseudomonadati; Pseudomonadota; Betaproteobacteria
Description: bacterial SSU rRNA
Rfam family: Bacterial small subunit ribosomal RNA
Source: RNAcentral
GUAGGGUGCGAGCGUUAAUCGGAUUUACUGGGCGUAAAGCGUGCGCAGGCGGCCCGUUAAGACAGGUGUGAAAUCCCUGGGCUCAACCUAGGAAUUGCGCUUGUGACUGGCGGGCUCGAGUACGGUAGAGGGGGGUGGAAUUCCUGGUGUAGCAGUGAAAUGCGUAGAGAUCAGGAGGAACACCGAUGGCGAAGGCAGCCCCCUGGGCCUGUACUGACGCUCAUGCACGAAAGCGUGGGGAGCAAACAGGAUUAGAUACCCUGGUAGUCCACGCCCUAAACGAUGGGUACUAGCCGUUUGGUGCGCGAUAGCGCUGAGUGGCGAAGCUAACGCGUGAAGUACCCCGCCUGGGGAGUACGGCCGCAAGGUUG